Molecule: ribosomal RNA, 406 nt
Filed under: uncultured bacterium
Lineage: Bacteria
Description: partial 16S ribosomal RNA
Rfam family: Bacterial small subunit ribosomal RNA
Source: RNAcentral
AUUGAACGCUGGCGGCAUGCUUUACACAUGCAAGUCGGACGAGUGGCGAACGGGUGAGUAAUAUAUUGGAACGUACCGAGUAAUGGGGGAUAACUAAUCGAAAGAUUAGCUAAUACCGCAUAUUAUUCGAUCUGCCGAUCUCGGAUUAGCUAGUUGGUGGGGUAAAGGCCUACCAAGGCGACGAUCAGUAGCGGGUCUGAGAGGAUGAUCCGCCACACUGGGACUGAGGCACGGCCGAGACUACUACGGGAGGCAGCAGUGGGGAAUUUUGGACAAGGAGCGCAAGCCUGAUCCAGCCAUGCCGCGUGUGGGAAGAAGGCCUUCGGGUUGUAAAGGACUUUUGUCAGAGAAGCGGUACCUGAAGAAUAAGCACCGGCUAACUACGUGCCAGCAGCCGCGGUAAUUC